UUGAGGGCCGCAUCCACCUAAUGGCCGUACAGGUGGAUUGGCGUCACCGCCGUGGUGGGCGGGGCGCUCACAACGCAGGAGGGGCUUGUCUCCGGCACUUUACUAACCCUACGUUGUCAACACUCCUGUAAUAAGGCAGAGCACAACCACCGCCUCUCUCGUCGCCUCGCUGCUGUGUGAGCUCGCCUCGUCUUCUUCAGCUUCCCUCCAAGGCGCUUUUAUCUCCGACGCAAAGGUGGUGUUUGGUCUGUUUGCCAGGCAUUACCAUAAAUACCUGGGAGUGAAAGAUGGGCCGCUGCGGGAGCCUGUGAACUGCUCGUGUUGUGGCUGCGGUCCUUGUGUGGCUGCGAGGCGAGGACAUGCACCGGGUCAUGUUGAAAAUAGGACCUGUCGACUUGAAUGAGAAGGAAGUGGCGGGGAGAAAGAAGCAGAUUGGCAGCGCUGCUCUCAGGGUGUCCAGCGCUGCCUAGUUUUCAAGCGACAAGCCACUGAAGCAUGAAGGAGAGGAAGGCACACUAUGCUUGCUGGUUCCUAGUUAGCUGAAGCAUGACCUCGUUGGAAGACAGCAAUGGAGAGCGGGUCCUUUUGGGAGCAGCAGAGGAGCAGUCCAUGUCUUCAGAGGUGUGGGUGGCAAGAGCAGCCGACUAGCCACUGCUCUUGUUCAGCAGCAUGGAUAUUUGCCAUUCAUCUCCUGCUGGCAUGGCAAAACACCACUGCUGCAAUCUCUCAGGUCACUGGUGUGGUGGACUUCCAGCAGGAUCCAAGGAAGCAAACAACAAAGGAGGAACAGGUCACUGGGCCAGGCACAGAGUACCAGAUGAAGGAUGCUUUGAUGCCUGCAGAACAGUGGCAGUGGUGAGAGUCCCAAGGCGCCUCCCACAGGAGAGCAUGGAGUAUGAAAGGUUGAAUAUCAACAAGCCACUAACAAGGUCAUCUGAGAAAAUAAUAAAUGUCAAGAGGGAAUGGAUGGCUGAGAAGAGUGGGAAAGUGACCAUUCACCUGGGCAAGGCCUUGGGCGAGAACCGGUUGUAUGGCAGGAAUGGAGUCCACGUGAAUCCUGACAGCAGCACAAGGACGGAUGAAAGCAGGAAGUGUGUUGCAUGGACAUGACAUGAGGACGACAAACAACUGAAGAUGCAACAACAAGAGAAGGCUGCUACCAGGCAUGAAAAUGCACAAGGUUUGGGAUGUGUGUAAGGAUUAAAUGAAUGGCAUGUUGACUUAGUCGGAAUGACUGAGACACAUUUGAGGGAUGAUAUGCAAAUGAAUGGCAGUGAGCAUGUGAUGAUUUGAAAGGGACAGGAGGAUGUUCACCAUAGAGUGGAAGGAAGAAGGAUCAUCUUCAUAGAAAGGAAAGGAACCUCAGAAUAGUUAUAUCUAGGAGGAAACUGCCAUAACUGAAAACUCACUGAUAUUAGCAGUGAAAGUAGAGUGUACAGGUGAGCAUGACAAGUCAUGUACACAACAGUUAAGGGUUUAAGAGCAAGAGAGAAUAGCAGGAAGUACGGCAUUUUUAAAAAAAGAUUGUAAGAAUACUAGUAGGCUGAACAGCAUGAGAGACAUGAAUGCACAUCUAGCUACAUUGAGAUGAAUGCACAUCUAACUACAUUGAGAGUGUAAGAGAAUCAAAAUUGAAAUUCAUGCUUGCUGAGUUUAUAGAUGAAAAUAAUCCAGAGAAUUUGAAGACCAUGGCAGAAGACUGGGUGAUGUGGCAUGCAAGGAAUCAGGAGUCAGUGAAUGACUGUGUUAGUGAAAGGGAGAAUGCAUGAGAAUGUUGCUUGUGUGUGGAGAGAUGAGGAAUGAAUGAUUGAUAGUGUCAGAAAAUAAUACAUUUGUUGUACAUUGCAUGAUGUAAAGGUAAGAAAGAAGAGGUGGGGAUGAAGUGAUGCUAAUUGGGAGGAAUUGCAGAUGUGCUUGAGUGAAUGUGGAACCCAGGGAAGCUAGAGGAUAAAGAUGAGAUGAAUGAUAGAUUAUUUAAAAACUGAAAAGUGCUUAAGUCUUGUAACAAAACAAGUUUUGUUCAAAUGAAAGGAAAGACUGAAUAAGUCAUGGUGGAAUGAAAAUCUUAGGAUAGCAACAAUGGAGUGAGACAGUUGUGUAGAUAGGAUAGAUGAUUGCAAGAAAAGUAGGAUAGAUGAUGAUUGCAAGAAAAGUGAUAUUUACUUAGGUUUUUUUAGAUGAGAAAGAAUAAUAGGAUCAACAGAAAUGAAGAAAUAUAGAAACAUUGUGUGAGGAGUGAGAGGUUAGUCAAAGAUGUAUUUUAUCACAACCCUAAACUAUCAAGCCUGUAUAGAAAACAUUUAGUAGUCAGGAUGAGAGGAAUGAAUGGAGUAAGUAUGGGAAAUGGAUAUAUGUGCUAUUAUUAUAUGCAGAUGAUGAAUUGAAUUUAUUGAGUAAGCUCAGACUUUUAUUUAUAAAAGUAUGAAGCACAGCUCUCCAGCAAAAGAAUACAAACACCAUAAAUUAUAUACAGCAUGUGCAUAAUAUUACAUAAAGAAAAAAAGACAUACAAAUGAAAUACACCAAGCAUACAAAUGAAAUACACUAAGCAAUGGCAAAAAAAAGAAUAAAAAAAUAUGUAUACAUAUAUAAUGAUACAUUUACUAAUUACUAAUUAAGAAAUUAGAAAAACUAUUGACCUGUUUUGCACACUAUUUAUCUAAACAUGCAUAGCACCAUCCUCAAAAACAAAGGUAAUUUCUUCAUCACACUUGAACUUGUACUUUGCAUGAACAUAUUUGAAUUGUGUUGGCCUAUUUAUGUAAUGAUUUGGUAUAUACAUAUUACGUAACCUAACAAUUUCCACGUCCAUACAUUCAAAAAGAACACGAAAUUCAUCUCCUACUACCUCAACAUCACACUUGUUACAUACCCUAUCUUCUCUACUGACACCUUGUUACCUACCAACAUUUACAGGAAGUCUAUUAUUACAAGUUCUAAAUUUAGUCACUAAUAAUCUGUCACCCUUUGUUAACUUUUCUAAAUACUGUUCUCUGCCAAAAUCUGUCUUAAACACCCUAUAAUUGCUACUUAAUGAUUUUUUCCUAAAUUAUGAUGCCAAGUUACAAGCCACUGAUCUUUCAAUCUCUGUUCCACAGCUUUCUUCACCCAUCUUGAAUUAGGAACAUCUUGCAACAACCACAUACCAUACAUUCCACAGUCAUUACAAAUAUUCUUUAUACAAGCUAACCAUGGAGAAGUAUAAAGCCCUAAUCUAUCCAGCUGCAAUAGACAUUGGUACAUUACAUAAUACAAUUUAGUAUUUUUACCUGAAAUUAGCCUAGACCAAGGUUAAUCUUUUUUUUUUUCUUGAUAUAUAAAGUUGUGGUUAUCACGAGUGAGUCCACAGAAGAGCUCCAAAGCUUAUCAGAUGUGGGUGGGUAUGGUAUAGAUUUUGGAUAAGAUUUAACAUGCACAAGAAUACGAGUAUCUAGGAAUGUGCAUGUAUCCAAAUGGUUGUGGAAAGCCAAAGAAUCAAAUGAUUAGCAUGGUGAACCAGCAUAGCAAGGAUGAGGGCAGGCAAAUAUGAUGUACAAGGUUUGGAAGAGUGUGGCUGCCAAAGUAUUACUACGUACAGUACAGUGUGAUUGCAUGGAAUGAGGGAAUGAGUUGGAAGUAAGGCAGAAUAGAGUAGCAAGGAUGGCAUAGAGUGCAGCAAAGUAUGUAAUAGUUUGAAUGGUAAUAUGGGAUGAAGUAUAUUUAGGAAAAGGUAUAUGAAAGUAACCUUAAAGCAUAAAACUAGAUUGAAGUAAAUGUAGUAUGUAAUGUUAAUAAAAAAGGUGUAUCUGUGUCUGUAUCUGUGGACUGUAAGGAGUAGCGAGUGGGGAAGAAGAAUGGCAUGGUAGUUGGGCAUGCAUACUGACCACCUGAGGAAAGAUUGUGUGUGAAUGAGGAGGAUUGAUAGAAAGAAGACAAAAGUGGCAUGUGAAAAGUGGAAAAGUGAGAUAGAUAGCAGUGAAAUGUGUGGAACCAAAUGAAUGGAAGAAUGAGAUGAAACUAAACAGGAGAAAGAGGCUCCACUGUAUGAAAAAUGGUGUGCACUUUCACAACAUAUAUACAUAUGCUCACACCUGCACACAUGUGUACACACCACAUACACUUUCACAAGUAGAUACUUGUUAAUCACUUGUUCCAUAAGCAUUCCUGCCUGCUCCAGGAGGCGCCAUUACUGGAUGUGGGAAACUACUUGACAGCCCUCUCACCCUUCUACAUACCAAAGGGCACCAUUAUGUGGGCAGAGAGGAUAGUGCAGGCACUGAGGAGGCAGAUCCUUCAGCUUUAGGGUUGCAGGGGAAAAUGUAUCCUGAAAAUCCAUGUCAAAUUGUUCAUGGUGUUUGUCUGUGCUGGUUUAGAAUACUCCACAAUGGUAUGAGGGAAGCCUGAGUGAUGAUCUCUUCUAAGUGAAAGUACAGGGUAUGGCUGUGAAUACUAGGAAUUCUAGAUGGUACAAGUCCUGCAGCAAAGUGUGCCAAAUGUGUGACAUGGGAGAGAAUGAGACAGUUGAGCAUGUGAUGCUGGAAAGCGAGAAGUAUGAGGAUGGAGCAAAUAAAAGCGUGGAGAACAUGGAAGAGGAAUGGAUGGUACUGCUGCUGGGCCCGUGUAGAGGGAUGAAUGAAAGGAUGAUGGAAGAUGUAACAAGUUCAGUGUAGGGGAACUGGUAUUGUGGUUGAUACUGUUGUUUUGUAAUUUUUCCUUUACAGGAGUUCCUACUCUAAAGGCCUGACUUAGGAACAAAACUGAGUCAGCUAUAGCAUAAAGGUAUAGAUGCACAUUAGCAGGACAUUUUUUUCAGGCAUAUGUGAGAGUCUGCAGAAUGCUGGGCCAGGCAUGCAUGUGGCAGGACACUGAACAUGUCUUCACUUGUGGUGAGACUGCACAAGCUUAGCAAGGAGUGAUGACCAGGGUUGUUGUGUCUGCCCUGGUGGCAGCAGUGUGGGCAAUGAAACACAUGUAGCCCCGGGAGUUCAUGAUGAUGUUGAACACCUCAUCAGGGCUUGGCUGUCACAUUUGCCUUACUUGAAGCACUAAAAAAGUAAACAAGAAAGGUCCCUCCAACAAGCAAUGUUGGUUAAUUUCCUGUGUAACAUAAUUACCAAGUUGACUGUCACAAUAGACAGUGGCACUGUAUUUUAUGUAUUGCCUCAAAGACAUUUCAUUUUGAUCAGGCCUCUGAUUCCAUUUUAGGGAGAGAAUAUGGCAAGAGUUUGAAACAGGCUAACUGUGCACUCGUAUUCAUGGCACUGGGCUUAUAAUGAAAUGGAAGAUGGUAUCAAGAUAUUUUUCUAUUCAGGGGAAACCAGAUUCAAAAUGCUAUUUGCAAUCAAGAUGGAGUGCAUUGUUCUCUAUUUCAGACUCCUUGUAUGGGAAAUGAUAAAUGUUUCAAUGUUGAUAAAAUACAUUUCUUUAGUAAUUCACCACACCCCUUGAAAAGCCUUUGAACACACUUCUGAAAUAUAAAAAUUGAAAAUUUAAUGGGAACAAAUUUCUAUAUCAAUGACCCCCAGAAUUUAUCUUGAAGCCCAUGUGCACAAAACACCUAAAAAUGGGGGUCAAUCUUGCCACCCAAGUCUUGCCAUACACAUCUGCAGCAUGCAUUAACACCCAUUCCACCACAAGCCUGCUGCUACAGUCAACAGAAUUUGUAUAUGAAGUGGAUACUUUAAUUACUGCAGUAUCACUAAAAUGUAUUUAAAGGAACUUUAUAGUCAUGAGAAGUUUGUGCACCAUGUGUACAAAUUCACUGUAUGGAUGGCUGCCUGACAAACAGCAUCACUCGAGACUUUGUGGCAAGAUAUUUAAGUCUAUAAAGUAUCUUACCCCACAGCUGAAUCAAAACUGUAUGGAAAAUCAAUUUACCAAACUGAGGAAUAAUUUGUAUAAAGUGUAUAUGCUUAUCUUAAAUAAGCAACGUUUUGAAAAAUCCUGAAGGAAUUGUUUAAAACAAAGUAAGUAAUGGUCUUGUAUAUGUAACGGCUGUUUUAUGUUCUGUUCCUGUGCUUGUUCUAUUUGCCUAACCCCUCAAAUUGUGUAUGUAAUUUUAACAGCUGCUGCCACCUCUACUUCUGACUAAAAGCUAUAUGUCAGUGUGUGCAAAAUGCAUGUACUACUUUGGCACUGCUGCUGUACUGUGUAAGUGCAUGUAUUCCUUUCUCACAGCAAUGGUGUUGUGUUAUUAAAUUAAUAGGUGCAUGUAUUACUUUGUCACUGCUGCUGUGUUGUGCUGUUUAAGUUCUGUUAUUGCUUUAUUACUGCUAACAUGUACUAGCUGUAUGUAUUGCUUUAUAACUAUUCUUGUGAUGUAUUCUGGCGUUUGGCAUGAUGGCAAAAGAUGCAACACUGCAUCAAGUGCAAAUGUUUUUUGCUUGUUGGAAACUAUUUUCAGAAAUGCAGCCGUUAGCUGUUCUAUUUUAUUAGCAGCAGUGAUUGAAAAAUUGUGAUUUAAUUCUGUCUGUAGUCUACCACUAAUAAAAUAUGCAAAAGC
This is an RNA transcript of Scylla paramamosain (green mud crab), 6481 nucleotides long. It is a transcript of the gene named neprilysin-3-like, with no coding region annotated. The transcript is spliced from 6 exons. Lineage: Eukaryota; Metazoa; Arthropoda; Malacostraca; Decapoda; Portunidae. The record is from RefSeq and is a predicted model, not a curated record.